Molecule: long non-coding RNA, 472 nt
Organism: Homo sapiens (human)
Lineage: Eukaryota; Metazoa; Chordata; Mammalia; Primates; Hominidae
Source: Ensembl
GCAAGGAAGGACCAAGCGACCUGAGAAGAGCAGAGGUGCCCCAUGGGGACCACGCUGACUUGUCGCAUGUGCACCAAGGCCAGCCCCACUCAGGGCCCUCACAGGGCUUCUGCAGAGCCGUCCUGAGGCUCUGACAUCUAUGAGUCGGCGGCCAGCAGAGGCGCAGACCCCAGCACAGAGGAGCAGAGGCACCCGGAACAAGCUGUCCCUUAAUGCCACCCCAAGCGGGGCCAGCUCAGGAUGCGGUGUUUGGAGCAGUCCUGCAGCUCUGCGAUCCACGAGGUGGUGGUGGGAGUAGCGCCAGAGUCCACUGCUUUGGAGCCUGCCCCGUCUGAUUCAGGAGUCAUGACGACCAGAAGACGCCAAAAGACCACAAAUUUUUAGACCAAGUUUAUAAAAUUAGGGAUACUCCUAUUUCUUAGACAAUCAAACCAAUGAUCAGAAAGACUAGAUAAAUCACCAUAGUCACAAA